GCGCGAGAUCGGCGAGACGAACUACGACCUGCUAUUCUACGCUUGACCUGCUGAGAGACAGCUUGCUUUCCGCAUCAUUCUCCCGAUUUAAGCUCCCGAUACCUUUCCUUCUACCGCUACCGUUCUAUCGUUCAUUCUACCGAUUAAUUUAUCCUAUGAACUCUUUUCAUUCCUUUUCCCUUCCUUCUCAGUUUUGCUAAUAUAACGUAUAAUUUAAAUUAGAGUCAGUUUUGUGUGCCUGAAGUCAACCGCCAAGAAUCUGCAACUAUGAUGUGCCCUUCGUCGUCUACCACAACACCCUGUGGUCUCAAGAAUUGCUUUGAACCAGUACCUUCCCCACCUAAGAACCUUGCGGUUCCCAAGUUCGGCGGAAUAACGACUAGCCGGUGAUUGUUGAAGUCGGUUACAAUUAUGUUGCCCUCUGGAGAGAAAGCAACACCUCGAGGCGAAUCAAAGUGCUUUGAAGGACCAGUGGUAUUUUCGAAGCCAAACUUUCCUAAAUAUACACCUUGGUGUGUGAAUAGUUGAAUACGAUGAUUUCGUGUGUCAGAGACAACUAUUUGGCCUUCAGAAUUAACAGCCACAUCCCAAGGGUAAUUGAAUUGGCCUGGCCUAGAGCCCUUUUCACCAAAGGUCUCCCACGAGGUAUGACAUGCCGUGGGAAGUUGGAUACUAUCCUACUACUGCCCAUGGGAGUUUCUAUUGCCGCUGUCCGACCUCUAACAGAUCGAUGAUCUCCUAUGGGACCUGGAUUUCCAAAAGUGACUGGUCCCACGGAGGCGAAUGAAUUUACCAAAUUGAAAUCUGAAUCUAGGAAUGACAUCCAGUCGUCGUCCCUGGGUACUACAGAAUUCUGAUAUUGACGAAUCUGAAGCACCUGAGCACAGAUAUAAGUAGAUUUUAGUCAUUUAUUAUCUUACCUAAUGGUCAAAGAUAUUGGAAAGAGCAAUAUACACCUUUUAUAUAUACAAAUUUUCACUGCCUUUAAUUGAUCGCCUGUGAUUGGCAAGUGGUUAAAAUAUUACAUUUUCUCAUAAUAACGAUGUACAUAUUGCUAAAUAAAAAGAAAAAAGAACUAA
RNAcentral lists this long non-coding RNA (1079 nucleotides) under Neodiprion pinetum (white pine sawfly). RNAcentral's name for it is "uncharacterized LOC124219047". Lineage: Eukaryota; Metazoa; Arthropoda; Insecta; Hymenoptera; Diprionidae. The record is from RNAcentral.